Molecule: ribosomal RNA, 200 nt
Filed under: uncultured bacterium
Lineage: Bacteria
Description: partial 16S ribosomal RNA
Rfam family: Bacterial small subunit ribosomal RNA
Source: RNAcentral
AGAGUUUGAUCCUGGCUCAGGAUAAACGCUGGCGGCGUGCCUAACACAUGCAAGUCGAACGCCCUCGGGCAACCGAGGGAGUGGCGGACGGGUGAGGAACACGUGGGUACCUACCCUUCAGUGAGGAAUACCGGCGAGAAAUCGCCGACAAUACCGCAUACGCUUCUUCGGAAGCAAAGCUCGCAAGAGCGCUGAAGGAU